Non-coding RNA from Cladochytrium replicatum, 72 nucleotides. NCBI's taxonomy places the organism in Eukaryota, Fungi, Chytridiomycota, Chytridiomycetes, Cladochytriales, Cladochytriaceae. The record is from the annotation of a GenBank genome assembly.
GCCGUUGUAGUGUAGUGGCUAUCAUAUUUCGUUGUGGCCGAAAUGACGGCGGUUCGAUUCCGCCCAACGGCA